This 253-nucleotide ribosomal RNA is filed under the name uncultured bacterium. Its description in RNAcentral is "partial 16S ribosomal RNA". It matches the Rfam family "Bacterial small subunit ribosomal RNA", at positions 524 to 776 of the family's 1533-position model. The record is from RNAcentral.
UACGUAGGGGGCAAGCGUUGUCCGGAUUUACUGGGCGUAAAGAGCGUGUAGGCGGCCACGCAGGUCCGUUGUGAAAACUGGAGGCUCAACCUCCAGCUGUCGACGGAAACCGUAUGGCUAGAGUCCGGAAGAGGCGAGUGGAAUUCCUGGUGUAGCGGUGAAAUGCGCAGAUAUCAGGAGGAACACCUAUGGCGAAGGCAGCUCGCUGGGACGGUACUGACGCUGAGACGCGAAAGCGUGGGGAGCGAACAGG